RNAcentral lists this ribosomal RNA (520 nucleotides) under uncultured Glomus. RNAcentral's name for it is "SSU rRNA". It matches the Rfam family "Eukaryotic small subunit ribosomal RNA", at positions 569 to 1091 of the family's 1831-position model. Lineage: Eukaryota; Fungi; Glomeromycota; Glomeromycetes; Glomerales; Glomeraceae. The record is from RNAcentral.
AGCAGCCGCGGUAAUUCCAGCUCCAAUAGCGUAUAUUAAAGUUGUUGCAGUUAAAAAGCUCGUAGUUGAAUUUCGGGAUCAAUACGUUGGUCGUGCUUUCGGGUACGUACUGGCGUCAUUGGUUUCUCUCUUCUGACGAACCAUGAUGUCAUUAGUUUGGUGUUAUGGGGAGUUAGGACUGUUACUUUGAAAAAUUAGAGUGUUUAAAGCAGGCAUUAGCUUGAAUACAUUAGCAUGGAAUAAUGAAAUAGGACGUUUGAUCCUAUUUUGUUGGUUUCUAGGAUCGACGUAAUGAUUAAUAGGGAUAGUUGGGGGCAUUAGUAUUCAAUUGUCAGAGGUGAAAUUCUUGGAUUUAUUGAAGACUAACUACUGCGAAAGCAUUUGCCAAGGAUGUUUUCAUUAAUCAAGAACGAAAGUUAGGGGAUCGAAGACGAUCAGAUACCGUCGUAGUCUUAACCAUAAACUAUGCCGACUAGGGAUCGGACGAUGUUAAUUUUUAGUGACUCAUUCGGCGCCUUAA